This 981-nucleotide ribosomal RNA is filed under the name uncultured bacterium. Its description in RNAcentral is "bacterial SSU rRNA". It matches the Rfam family "Bacterial small subunit ribosomal RNA", at positions 43 to 1031 of the family's 1533-position model. The record is from RNAcentral.
CGUGCUUAACACAUGCAAGUCGAACGGAAAGGCCCUGCUUUUGUGGAGUGAUCGAGUGGCGAACGGGUGAGUAACACGUGAGUAACCUGCCCUUGACUUUGGGAUAACUUCAGGAGACUGGGGCUAAUACCGGAUAGGAGCUCCUGCUGCAUGGUGGGGGUUGGAAAGUUUCGGCGGUUGGGGAUGGACUCGCGGCUUAUCAGCUUGUUGGUGGGGUAGUGGCUUACCAAGGCUUUGACGGGUAGCCGGCCUGAGAGGGUGACCGGCCACAUUGGGACUGAGAUACGGCCCAGACUCCUACGGGAGGCAGCAGUGGGGAAUAUUGCACAAUGGGCGGAAGCCUGAUGCAGCAACGCCGCGUGCGGGAUGACGGCCUUCGGGUUGUAAACCGCUUUCGCCUGUGACGAAGCGUGAGUGACGGUAAUGGGUAAAGAAGCACCGGCUAACUACGUGCCAGCAGCCGCGGUGAUACGUAGGGUGCGAGCGUUGUCCGGAUUUAUUGGGCGUAAAGGGCUCGUAGGUGGUUGAUCGCGUCGGAAGUGUAAUCUUGGGGCUUAACCCUGAGCGUGCUUUCGAUACGGGUUGACUUGAGGAAGGUAGGGGAGAAUGGAAUUCCUGGUGGAGCGGUGGAAUGCGCAGAUAUCAGGAGGAACACCAGUGGCGAAGGCGGUUCUCUGGGCCUUUCCUGACGCUGAGGAGCGAAAGCGUGGGGAGCGAACAGGCUUAGAUACCCUGGUAGUCCACGCUGUAAACGGUGGGUACUAGGUGUGGGGUCCAUUCCACGGGUUCCGUGCCGUAGCUAACGCUUUAAGUACCCCGCCUGGGGAGUACGGCCGCAAGGCUAAAACUCAAAGGAAUUGACGGGGCCCCGCACAAGCGGCGGAGCAUGCGGAUUAAUUCGAUGCAACGCGUAGAACCUUACCUGGGUUUGACAUGGGAUCGGGAGUGCUCAGAGAUGGGUGUGCCUCUUUUGGGGUCGGG